Molecule: long non-coding RNA, 1004 nt
Organism: Solanum stenotomum
Lineage: Eukaryota; Viridiplantae; Streptophyta; Magnoliopsida; Solanales; Solanaceae
Exons: 2
Source: RefSeq, a predicted model, not a curated record
GAACCACAUAAGCGCCGCCUCUAGGACGUCGGGAAAAGACCGGCGCGACCUCUGCUAUCGCCGUAGUUGUCUCCUCCACCCUCUCACGCCUCUUUGAAGCUUCUCACAGUUACAAAUAGCGAAUAGACCUCAAGAAGGAACACAACGACACUAAUGAUUUCUCCUUCUAACUCAACAGAUAAAAGAUCUGUCCAAGGUCCAUGGAUGAAUUCAGCAUUCAACAGCCCCCCAAUGGCUCCAAAUAUCUAUGAAAAAUUGUUUGCUACUGUGUUGAUUCAAUGAAUUACUUCGGAAGCUGAGAUGAAAAUUAAGAAGGAUUGGAAGUUGUCAGAAGAACAAGGACAAAUUUCUAUAGAAAUAGAUAGAACGCUCCAAGAACAAAUGAGAUUAAAAGUGGUGGAUUCUAUAAUGUCGAGAAUUCAACAGGUAAACACAUUGGUAUCUAUUUCGACCUUUUGUUGUAACUGCAACUCUUAAGCACAAGUCGCCAAUUGUUAGUUCUAUGUAAUAAAUCUUGAGCUAUUCAACAUACUCCCCCAGAUGCACUUCUUCAUUGUUUCUCUUCUUGCAUCGAACUAGCUUGUGUUCUUCAAUUUUGUGAAGGAAUUGAAAAACAACUGAUAAAUAGAAUGCAUUUGGUGAACUCGGUGUUGAAUUUAUUGUACCACCAGCAAGUUUGGUGAUGUCAGCUUGUGCACUGUCUUUUUCUAAUAACUUUAUAACUGCCCUUUUUCUAUUAUCGCUCUUUUAUAACCAUCUCUUUUCUAUUAACAUUAUGAUUAUGUUAAUAAUAAAAGUGAUCUUGUGUAUUUUCCUAAUAGGGGCAAGGCAAGGUUCUUGCAUUAUCUAAAAAGCCAUCGACAAAGGAGGGGAGCUUGAAGACACUUAAUAGUUAAUUUUCUUUUUCAUUUGUGUAUAUGCAUAUAUAAAUGACAUUGAACAAUGAAUUAUUGUGAAUUAUAUAUUUUGUUGAUUUUUUUAGUAAUAGAAGUACUUGUUAUAUC